RNAcentral lists this ribosomal RNA (253 nucleotides) under uncultured bacterium. RNAcentral describes it as "partial 16S ribosomal RNA". It matches the Rfam family "Bacterial small subunit ribosomal RNA", at positions 524 to 776 of the family's 1533-position model. The record is from RNAcentral.
UACAGAGGGGGCAAGCGUUGUUCGGAAUUACUGGGCGUAAAGGGCGCGUAGGCGGCCUUCUAAGUCGAACGUGAAAUCCCUGGGCUCAACCCAGGAACUGCGUCCGAUACUGGAUGGCUUGAGUUUGGGAGAGGGAUGCGGAAUUCCAGGUGUAGCGGUGAAAUGCGUAGAUAUCUGGAGGAACACCGGUGGCGAAGGCGGCAUCCUGGACCAACACUGACGCUGAUGAGCGAAAGCCAGGGGAGCAAACGGG